This 70-nucleotide transfer RNA is filed under the name Actinomycetota bacterium. RNAcentral's name for it is "Actinobacteria bacterium tRNA-Gln". It matches the Rfam family "tRNA". From Rfam's summary of the family: Transfer RNA (tRNA) molecules are approximately 80 nucleotides in length. Their secondary structure includes four short double-helical elements and three loops (D, anti-codon, and T loops). Lineage: Bacteria; Bacillati; Actinomycetota. The record is from RNAcentral.
GUGGCUGUAGCUCAAUGGAUAGAGCUCGUUUCUGAGGCGAUGGUUGUGGGUUCGAUUCCCACCAGUCACA